This 76-nucleotide transfer RNA is filed under the name Cognatishimia maritima. RNAcentral's name for it is "tRNA_Lys_TTT". It matches the Rfam family "tRNA". Rfam says of the family: Transfer RNA (tRNA) molecules are approximately 80 nucleotides in length. The record is from RNAcentral. RNAcentral also lists the same sequence under 7 other names. Lineage: Bacteria; Pseudomonadati; Pseudomonadota; Alphaproteobacteria; Rhodobacterales; Paracoccaceae.
GGGCCGUUAGCUCAGUUGGUAGAGCAACUGACUUUUAAUCAGUAGGUCGAAGGUUCGAACCCUUCACGGCUCACCA